Molecule: long non-coding RNA, 2825 nt
Organism: Pseudophryne corroboree (corroboree frog)
Lineage: Eukaryota; Metazoa; Chordata; Amphibia; Anura; Myobatrachidae
Exons: 2
Source: RefSeq, a predicted model, not a curated record
CCCUAAUGUCACUGCCAUACAAAGUCAGUGCUCUUACCCACUGAGCUACUCCCGAGACUCGCAGCGUGCUCCGUAUAUAUGAGCCGGCUCCUCCAGACUGGAUGGCUGACCUGGUGGAGGGGGGUUUCUGGGUGCUCGGAAACCCCCCCUGGGUGCGCCACUGGAUGGAAGGUGCGGAUUCUUCUCUCAAAGCGUCGUGGAUAGACAAAUGCGUUUCGGCUGAUUAUCAUAGAAAGGCGAGGGGAGUCGCCAUUAUAUUUCAUAAAGACCUGAACUACACCAUUCUACACUCGAUUCGCGAUCAGGGCGGUAGAUAUUUAAUUCUGGAUAUAGAACUAUGGGGAGCAAGGUACACAUUGGUGAAUGUAUAUGCACCCAAUGUAGGGACUGUAGAUUUUUUACAGGAGCUAACCAAUUUGCUCUCACAGAGGGACAACUUCGCCCUAGUGAUGGGUGGGGAUUUUAAACCGGUGAACGACCCUACUUUGGAUAAAAGGCCUCCCCCAAGAAAUUGACUUCCCCUUUGUGGAAGCAGAUGUUGUUGAUGAGAUCCACUCUCCGGCUCACGGACAUCUGGCGGCUUCUGUAUCCCACAGACAAGUCAUACACUUUCUACUCGAAUGUACACCAUUCGUGGUUUAGAAUUGACGCCAUGUUGAUAGCUGACUCGUUAGUGACGCAAGUGAGAAAUACUGAUAUACAUAACAUCCUGAUUUCCGAUCACGCUCCAGUGUCUUUGACAUUGGAGAGGAACAUACAAUCGGGCGGCACCAGAUUUUGGCGGUUCCCCAGCUAUUUGUACAAGUCAGAUGAUUUUAGAAAAUUUCUUACAAAUAAUUGGUUGAAUUAUCUGGAUGACAACCUAGAUUACCGGGAUAGACCACAUAUUUUUUGGGGCGCAGCAAAGUCUGUUCUCAGAGGCCAGAUAACCGAGUAUGUCGUCAAGCAUAAAAGGAAAUCGGCUGCAACUCAUCAUUCGUUACACAAUUCCAUGAACGAAGCUCUUCAUGAACACCUCCUUCUGUCAACUGAAGACUCAUUACAUAAAUACACUCAAGCUAAACAGCUACUGAAUGAUUUUUUUAUUGUCCCAGGCCAAAAAAGAUAUAGUCUUUUCUCGUUAUAAAUAUUACCAAUGGGGAAACAAGACGGGACGUCUCUUAGCGGCCAUGUCCAAAAAACGACACUCCACCCGCUACAUAACAGCAGUCAAAAAUAGACACACAGGCCAAUUACUCACAAAUACUCAGGCGAUUGUAAACCACUUUGAAUCAUAUUUUACAAACUUAUACUCCAGCCUUCCUUUUGAUAGCGAGGCACAUGAAGGGUUGUUGAGACAAGUGGAUAUACCUCGGUUGUCUCAAACUCAAGCUGAAACAUUGAUUGCGCCUAUUACGAUUUUAGAGAUUGAUGAGGAAAUAUCGAAUCUUCAUCUACAUAAAUCACCUGGGCCAGAUGGUCUGUCAAACGAAUUUUAUAAAAUUCUUCACCCACAUAUUGCUCCCACGCUACUCGAAUUGUUUAACAAUAUCCUGCAACACCACACACCGUCCCACCAUUUUAACACCGUUCACACUAUUCUGAUCCCUAAACCUACUCAAGACCCUCAGUUAGUGAACUCCUAUAGACCUAUCACUUUACUAAACACAGACAUCAAAUUGUUUGCCAAAAUACUUUCAGACAGAUUGCAAACACUUCUACCGCACGCCCUGACCCCCCACCAACUUGGCUUUGUAAAAAAUAAACACUCCGUUAAAGGGGUUCGUGCGGCUGUAGCGGCAAGCAUUGUCUCUGCACAAUCAUGCUUAUCCAAAAACAUCUUACCGAGUCUAGACAAGUGGUUACCAAACUUUUUUGAAUCACGGCGCCCUAGAAUAUCAGAAUUUUUUUCACGGCACCUCUAGGCCAAAAAUUUCUUAUUGCGAAAUUUAGAAAGAAAUAUUACAUUAAGUAGAUCGUGUUUAUAGGUCAUCCUUAGGGUCAGUUGUGUGGUGAGGGACGAGAUUUGCUUCUGUUUGGCCACAUAUUUUAUGACUGGCAGCAACCAGCACUGGUUUUGCAUAUUAUAUUGACCACGAAUAAUUAGAAUUGGUCCUGGACCACCAACCCAGGGCACCCCUGCAAGUGUCCCGAGGCACCCCAGGUAGCCACGGCACACAGUUUGGGAACCUCUGGUCUAGACACAACAAAAGCCUUUGACACAGUAUUGUGGCCCCACUUAUACUUCGUACUACAACAUAGAAAUUUUCAUCCUGACUUUAUUAAGACAAUACAAUAUCUGUAUACAUCUCCCUCCACUACCAUCCUGAUUAAUGGUUCAUGCAGUAACCCGAUUAUCAUGCACAGGGAAACGCGCCAAGGCUGUCCCUUGUCCCCGCUUCUAUUUAAUCUGGCGAUAGACCCUUUACUACGCAUCUUGCAAAAUGACACCCAAUUCAAGGGAAUUAAAAUUGGGCUAAGAGAAAUGAAAUUAACAGCGUUUGCUGACGAUGUUCUGUUGUACAUAGGAAACCCGACAGACUCACUGCCUCACAUUUUUAAACUUUUGCAAGCAUACGGGAAUGUUUCGGGUUACUUUAUCAAUUGGUCUAAAUCAGUAGCACUCAGAUUGGGUUCCGGGAACGUUGCAAGAGAUGGGAUAGAAAACUUACCCUUAACAUGGACGUCAGAUUUCAUUACAUAUAUGGGUAUUCGGAUUCCUAGAAUUCCGAAACUACUGUAUAGUUUAAAUUUCACUCCAAUAAUACAAAGUAUUGCUGUUGAGCUGGAAAUCUUUACAAUUAUCGUACUUGGGGAGAGUCAACUUAAUAAAAAUGGUGUAAUUU